Molecule: non-coding RNA, 379 nt
Organism: Pelobates cultripes (western spadefoot toad)
Lineage: Eukaryota; Metazoa; Chordata; Amphibia; Anura; Pelobatidae
Source: the annotation of a GenBank genome assembly
GUUUGACAUUAGAUAAAACCAAUUGACUCAUCUAAUCUGAACCAUUCUUUUUUUUCUGCUGCACAUUAAAGCAAUAGAACAUAGUGUGACACCAGUUAGGAAGUCAGCAGUUUGUUUAACAUGGGAGGUGAGGACAUGAUGUAAAAAGUGGAGAUUACGGGGUCAUUUUUAUCACAAAGUGAUUUAAAAUGCAGCUGCAUGUUGGGGUCCAGUUGGAGAAAUACAGUAUAAAUAUUUCAAUCUCACACUCACUUUUUCUUUGUCGCUUCUCUUCGUUUUACUCUCUGUUUUUCACUGGCUGCCCACCCCCUGUGCUUGUCACUGUCACAUCCUGAGAGUGUCAGGAAGUUUAGACAAUGAGACAGAAACAGAGGAAACU